Molecule: ribosomal RNA, 497 nt
Filed under: uncultured bacterium
Lineage: Bacteria
Description: partial 16S ribosomal RNA
Rfam family: Bacterial small subunit ribosomal RNA
Source: RNAcentral
GAUGAACGCUGGCGGCGUGCCUAAUACAUGCAAGUCGAGCGAACAGACGAGGAGCUUGCUCCUCUGACGUUAGCGGCGGACGGGUGAGUAACACGUGGAUAACCUACCUAUAAGACUGGGAUAACUUCGGGAAACCGGAGCUAAUACCGGAUAAUAUAUUGAACCGCAUGGUUCAAUAGUGAAAGACGGUUUUGCUGUCACUUAUAGAUGGAUCCGCGCCGCAUUAGCUAGUUGGUAAGGUAACGGCUUACCAAGGCAACGAUGCGUAGCUGACCUGAGAGGGUGAUCGGCCACACUGGAACUGAGACACGGUCCAGACUCCUACGGGAGGCAGCAGUAGGGAAUCUUCCGCAAUGGGCGAAAGCCUGACGGAGCAACGCCGCGUGAGUGAUGAAGGUCUUCGGAUCGUAAAACUCUGUUAUUAGGGAAGAACAAAUGUGUAAGUAACUAUGCACGUCUUGACGGUACCUAAUCAGAGAGCCACGGCUAACUACGUG